GCUUAACAUAUGAAAAGGGUCUCUGUUUACAGUCUUAGGAAUUACAUAUGAAAAGGGGCUUCGGUUUACAGUCUUAGGAAUGAAAAGGGGAAGUUUACAGUCUUAGGAAUGAAAAGGGGAAGUUGAUCUGAGAUGCUUGGGUCUCCCUCUUCA
Long non-coding RNA from Sapajus apella (tufted capuchin), 153 nucleotides. RefSeq lists it as uncharacterized. The record is from RefSeq and is a predicted model, not a curated record. NCBI's taxonomy places the organism in Eukaryota, Metazoa, Chordata, Mammalia, Primates, Cebidae. The transcript is spliced from 2 exons.